Molecule: ribosomal RNA, 490 nt
Filed under: uncultured bacterium
Lineage: Bacteria
Description: partial 16S ribosomal RNA
Rfam family: Bacterial small subunit ribosomal RNA
Source: RNAcentral
AUUGAACGCUGGCGGCAGGCCUAACACAUGCAAGUCGAACGGUAACAGGAGGCAGCUUGCUGCUUUGCUGACGAGUGGCGGACGGGUGAGUAAUGUCUGGGAAACUGCCUGAUGGAGGGGGAUACCUACUGGAAAGGGUAGCUAAUACCGCAUAACGUCGCAAGCCCAAGGAGGGGGACCUUCGGGCCUCUUGCAAUCGGAUGGGCCCAGAUGGGAUUAGCUAGUAGGUGGGGUAACGGCUCACCUAGGCGACGAUCCCUAGCUGGUCUGAGAGGAUGACCAGCCACACUGGAACUGAGACACGGUCCAGACUCCUACGGGAGGCAGCAGUGGGGAAUAUUGCACAAUGGGCGCAAGCCUGAUGCAGCCAUGCCGCGUGUAUGAAGAAGGCCUUCGGGUUGUAAAGUACUUUCAGCGGGGAGGAAGGGAGUAAAGUUAAUACCUUUGCUCAUUGACGUUACCCGCAGAAGAAGCACCGGCUAACUCCGUG